RNAcentral lists this ribosomal RNA (380 nucleotides) under Dendropsophus leucophyllatus (Bereis' treefrog). Its description in RNAcentral is "partial 12S ribosomal RNA". The record is from RNAcentral. Lineage: Eukaryota; Metazoa; Chordata; Amphibia; Anura; Hylidae.
GCCUUCGGAUCAGUUGUUACUUGAUGUACACAUGCAAGUCUCCGNCCCCCCUGUGAAAACGCCCUUNUAAUCCCUCCNAAGGGAUAAGGAGCUGGUAUCAGGCACNAAAAAUUAGCCCAAGACACCUAGCCAUGCCACACCCACACGGGAUUUNCAGCAGUGAUUAACAUUGUUUAUAAGCGCUNAGCUUGAAUCAGUCNAAAGUAAAAAGGGCCNGGCUAAUCUGGUGCCAGCCGCCGCGGUUACACCACGUGGCCCAAACUGANCCCCCUCCGGCGUAAAGCGUGAUUNAAAGNCCUUUUUCUAACUGCAAUCAAACUAAAACUAAGCUGUGACACGCUUGUNUACUAGGAAACUUAAGAAACGAAAGUCAUUGCANC